AUUUAUAUAGUUUAAAAAAAAACAAUACAUUUUCAUUGUAUAAAUAAUAUACCUUAUAUUUAUAAAUA
RNAcentral lists this transfer RNA (68 nucleotides) under Phaneroptera nigroantennata. Its description in RNAcentral is "tRNA-Glu". The record is from RNAcentral. Lineage: Eukaryota; Metazoa; Arthropoda; Insecta; Orthoptera; Tettigoniidae.